This 70-nucleotide non-coding RNA is filed under the name Mogibacterium diversum. RNAcentral's name for it is "Fluoride riboswitch". It matches the Rfam family "Fluoride riboswitch aptamer (crcB RNA motif)", at positions 10 to 59 of the family's 64-position model. Lineage: Bacteria; Bacillati; Bacillota; Clostridia; Peptostreptococcales; Anaerovoracaceae. The record is from RNAcentral.
CCAAUUGGGGAUGAAGUUCUCCCGCGGAAUAAACCGAAACCGCUAUGCCGAUAGCUGAUGACUUCUACUG